UCCCCUCCCCCCACGGCUGGGAUCCAAGCCCCCAGCCCCCAGAGCUUCCCUUCCAUUCCGGGUAGAGGCCAUCAGCUGAUUCUGUUAGGUGAUUACAUGGUUGUCAGCCUUCAGUUGAUCAAGUCUUCAGAUCAUGUUGAGAGGAAGUAGAAAGAGCUGCGCUUUGGGAUAAGGGAGGUCCAGGACUAAGCUCUAGUUUUGCCUCUAAUUCCCUGGGAAACACUUUUUCUCCUCCUCUAGGUGAGGCUUCAUCUAAAUUCUCAUGAGAGUGGGUUGGAGAUUGAGAGGUGAAGGCCAAACUCCAACCUGAGUUCUUAGGCCUCCCCUGGACAUUCUGAGAUUCUGUGUGAAUUGGAGAGCGGUAGGGUGUGGACAAGAGAAUAGUAUGCCUUGAAAAGUUUGGAGCCCGGUAGUUUCUCAUAUUAUUACAUGGAGUGCCUCAACUUACGUUGAACUUGAAAGCUUUUUUUUCUUUUGAUAUUUAAGAUGCAAUAAGUGUAUGGGGGCGCAUUUGUGCCCCUUUUCAUGACUUUUUAAAGAAGCCUCUUGAGAUUCCCCUGAAGGUUUUCAAGUUGGGGAUCUUCAGAGUAGCGGAGUUUGUAGGUUCUUCUGGAAAGUGAAGGUUACUCGUGGCAGGUAGGAAAAGGAAAGACAAAAAAGAAAAGUUCUGAAUAAACUCCCAUCAUAUUCUGAAGGGAAAGAUGAAGAUACUGAAGCAAAAUGCCAUUAAGGAGAUACAGCAGAGGUCAGCUGCGGGGAGAAUGCAGCACAAAAGAAGGGGUGGCUCUUCUCUCCAGGUUCCCACCUUCCGCAAAGGAUGUUCUCUGUAAUGGAUGUUUGCUACUUACUUCUGUGGAAAGGUUCAUGUAGAGAGAGAUAUUCCUAAGGAUAGCGGGGAGAAAGAGGACAAAGACGGCUUUUUUCUUCUUAUUAUUAUUACUUUUUAAAUAAAGGCCUUUGAGUGCCUCUUCUGAAACUAUUUAGAUUCCCACUUGCCUAGGUAAUCCCAGUUUAUGGCUGGAGUAACUUCCUUGAGAUAUUACAUUCGUUGUCAUGUACAAUAGCAUGUGUCUGUUAUGCCCUUGAACUACCUUGAAGAAAAGCUUCCUUAGUCUUUGCCUAGAUAAACAAGCUUGCCCACUGGCCCCUUUAUGGGCUGAGGGUGAGCGGUGACACCGCUCAAGUUUACUCCAGGUGCUUUGUUCACCUCCCUCAUGUGGUUUUGUAAGAAGCCAUAUACUUGAGGGUUAUUGAAUUUGUUUAAAUGUCUUGAACUCCUGUGGAAUCUGGUUAGUCACUGUGGAUGGUGGUUUUUGGUGUUGUCAUUUUAGCUUUUCAAAGUCCCCAUCUAGGACUUCUUUAUGCCAAAUAUAACAAGUAUAUUAGGUAUGCUCCUUUAUAUAAUCACUGAAUCUCCCCAUGGAAAGAUAAAUAUAUGCAAGGAAAUAUUGUCAAGAAUUUGGGGUGUCAUAUUGAGGCACUGGCAGAUGGAGAAGGUUCUAAGGGCAAUUCUAGAGAGAUCUCUGAUUCUUCUGAUCAAAAGAGUUCAUUUUCAAGGUGUUUAAAUGGGUCUCUUUAACUUUCUUAUAUGGCCAAUGGAAUCAGAUUGAUUCGCAUUGCAAAUACUCAACCAGGUCAUUCCUACCGAUGAUAACGUGGCAAAAUGGUUUUUUUUUUUAAUUAUUAUUAUUAUUAGUUACUAAAGCUAUUACAGUUUUUGUGGAAGAAUUAAACAAUGUCCUCCUCGUCUCCCUACUACACAUUUUGGAGAUUUCUACCUAUAAAUAUGUAUGUUUAAACUCCAGGUCAGAUUCCUAUUUUCAUUUUGGCUAAAGCCAGAGAUUAUUCAAGAUGGGGCCGAGGCUUUUCUCUCAAAACCAAUUCCCAGAAAAGGGAACCUUUGACUCAUAGGCAUUCUCCCCAACCUGCAAAUGACUCAUCGGAUGCCUUUGGACGGAGUCCAGAGAACCUGUCUCCAUUCCUCCACCUGGGCAGUGGUGCUCACACCCACCUUAUGCAGAGACCUGGGUGAUGAUUCAUUGACUGGUUUUGGUAUAGUUCUGUCACUUCUGAAUGUGAACAGGAUUAUCUGUGUGUAUAAGUAGUCUUCCUUGUAAAAGAUGGCAUUCCUCGAAGUGCUUUUAGGUGAAAAGCUUGGCUAGAAGUUUCCUGAAAUUGAACCUUGUUCUCUUUGUCAGUGGAGCCUACUUGACAUCUUAGGGUUAAGAUACAAGGAUGUGUCAAGGCAUUGUUCUCCUGCUCUAAAUAGUGCCAGCUGUAUAAAGAAUAUUCCAAAAGUGCCUAAAGAGAUAUAGUGUGCUCAAAACCAUGUAGGAAAUGAGACACAGGGUGUGUGUUUUAUCUAGGUGGUUCUUGCAAAGCAGUUUAUGAAAAUGUACCUGAGGCCUUCCUGGGGAAACAAACGUUGCACUGUGCAUUGUGGUUUUGCAAUGGCAAUUCCAUCCAAGUACUUGGUAUUUAUUGUCAUUGAUGACUCCUGCAGCUGAAAGUUGGAAUAUACAAAAGAGAGUGGCAGAUGCGGAUGGAGUAGAUUUUUUUUCUGGGCUACACUGUACAUCUUGUCUUAUUUUAACCCAGUUUUCAAACUUUUAGCAAGCUAGUGUCUAGUCUUGUGCUUAGUUAACUGCUGCUUCUUGCUUGGCUUUAAUAGCUAGGGCUUUCCAAAGACUGGGAUUCCCCAGGAGGCUGCAUGGUAGGAGGUGUCUAAGCAGAGAAAUAAGUAAGCGUUUUGUAAGAAUGUUGUAGGCAAAAUACAAGCACCAGACAAAUGGGAGGUUAGACUAGACUCUCUUAAGUCACAUCCAACUGUGGGAUUCUGUAAUUUGUUUAUAAGCUCCUCUAACCUGCUCAACUUGCUUUGCAUGAAUCCACAUGUGUGUAGGAGUGCUUAAUGAGUAUUGGUUGUCAGUGAGGUUGCCCAGUACUCUCACCAUGAUGUCAGGCUCGAUCAAAGAGACAAAAUCACUAAUUUGGACAGACUUUGAAGCUUAGACAGAGAGAAAGGCACCCUUUACACUUCCCCAUAGUAUGGAGUAUGCCUGCUGAACCGAGGGUGUUCAAGGAGUCAUUGGUAUUCAAAUCUGUUCAAGAGUUUGAUCUGACUCCUGGAAUGAAAGAUGUCAAAACAAAAAUCCAGGCUUGAGAUCAGAAGUUCUUAAUCCUUUACCCUGGUUUUGUACUAACUAGUCAUAUGUUUAAUGGUGAGCCACUUGGUCUCUCUGGGCUAUAGUCUCCCCAUUUAUAAAAUAGGGCAGUGUAGGGGGGAUGGUGAGCUGAAUCCAUUGUUUAUUCCUCUCUUCAACAAAUGUGAGCUGUCUUGCUCCUGGGAAUGCAACUAAGAUGAUAUAUAAGGUGCUAAAGUUGAUUUCUUCCAGUGCCAACACUCUUUGUAACUAACUGUUGUGAUUGAGGG
Long non-coding RNA from Pipistrellus kuhlii (Kuhl's pipistrelle), 3433 nucleotides. RefSeq lists it as uncharacterized. The record is from RefSeq and is a predicted model, not a curated record. Lineage: Eukaryota; Metazoa; Chordata; Mammalia; Chiroptera; Vespertilionidae. The transcript has 2 exons.